GAUCCCCCGUGUAAGAGUGAGGUGGAGGAGGACAUUCCAGGAGAUGUCACCACAGAAAAUCCCAGUAAGAAUUCUGAGGAAAACUUCAUGUUAUCAAUAAAUUAUAAAGUGGAAGAUGAAGAUGUCCUGCAGUACUCUUCAGAAGAAAACGUAAUUACCCUAAUAGUACAUCCAGGACUUCACAGUACAGAUUUAUCCUGUAAUCCUCCUAAUCAUGAGGAACCUUCUCCUGACCAAUCACAGAUUGUUACAAGUACAGGUCAGAAAGGGGGUGAAAGGUUUCACUAUGGUAAAGAGUUCAUACAAAGCUUAGGUCUUUCUGCACACAAAGUAAUUCAUACAGGAGAGAAACCAUACUCCUGUUCACAUUGCAAGAAAUGUUUUACAGAUAAAUCACAUCUUGUUACACAUGAGAUAAGUCACAUAGGAGAGAAGCCAUAUUCAUGUUUAGAAUGUGGUAGAUGUUUUACACAUAAAUCAUAUCUUGUUGCACAUGAGAGAAGUCAUACAGGUGAGAAGCCAUAUUCAUGUUCAGAAUGUGGAAAAUAUUUUACUCAAAAAGCAAGUCUGUUUAAACAUCUGAGAUUUCACACAGGAGAGAAGCCGUAUUCAUGUUCAGAAUGUGGGAAAUGUUUUGCACAAAAAUACAACCUUGUUGAACAUCAGAGAAUUCACACAGGGGAGAAGCCAUAUUCAUGUUCAGAAUGUGGGAAGUGCUUUAAACAAAGAACAAAUCUUAUUCGACAUCAGAGAUCUCACACGGGAGAGAAACCAUAUUCAUGUUUAGAAUGUGGGAAAUGCUUUACGUAUAACACUCAACUUGCUAUACAUGAGAAAAAUCACACAGGAGAGAAGCCAUUUUCAUGUUUAGAAUGUGGGAAAUAUUUUAUAUAUAAAUCACAACUUGUUAUGCAUGAGAGAAUGCACACAGGAGAGAAACCAUAUUCAUGUUCAGAAUGUGGGAAAUGUUUUAGACAAAAAUCAGAUCUUGUAACACAUAACAGAAUUCACACAGGAGAGAAGCCAUAUUCAUGUUCAGAAUGUGGGAAAUGUUUUACACAGCAAACACAUUUUCGUAAGCAUCAGAGAUUUCACACAGGAGAGCAGCCGUAUUUAUGUUCAGAAUGUGGGAAAUGUUUUACAGGGAAAUCAAUGCUUGUUGCACAUGAAAAAAGUCACAAAGGAGAGAAACCAUAUUCAUGUUCAGAAUGUGGGAAAUGUUUUACAGGGAAAUCUAUUCUUGUUGCACAUAAAAGAAGUCACACAGGAGAGAAACCGUUUUCAUGUUCAGAAUGUGGAAAAUGUUUUACAGAUAAAUCAAAUCUUGUAAAACAUUUGAGAAUUCACACAGGAGAGAAACCAUAUUCAUGUUCUGAAUGUGGGAAAAGUUUUACACGGAAAUCAUAUCUUGUUAAACAUCAGAAAUUUUACACAGGGAAAAGCCAUACUCUUGUUAGGAAUUAAAACUUAUUAAACAUAAUAGAAUUCACAAAGGUGAGAAACCAUUUUAACAUGCCCAUAUGAUCCAAAUUAAUUCUACCAAACACUAAAUUGCUAUAAUUGCCUGGAAAAGUCUUUUUUUCAUUGUAUCUCUUCUCCUUGAUUGACCGAAAUCAAAUCGCACACAUUUCAAAUCUGAUAGAAUCAGGAGUUUCCUACAGACUAACCCUCCUGCUGGCAUGAUGGCUAUAUCACUGGUUUAUCUGACCGGGUGAUCUGUGAUAAUUGACCCUAUAUGUACAUUCCUGUGGUUUAAUGGUAAACCUAUCUAGGUACUGGAGCCGAGUUAUAUAUCGGUAGUGAGAAUCGUUUGUGAUGUCACAUCUUCUAAUUAACCCCUGAAUAAUGACAACAUGAAUUCAGUGACCAAAUGAUGCUCCUAUAUGUCUUUCAUAUGUAUCCUCCUCCUUCUUUAUUACCUGCAGAUCAUGAAUGGAGACAUGAUGAUAAAUUAUUAGUAAUCUGUAUGUCUCUGAUAAGUACUGGCCAGUAGGUCGCUCACUCACUGUAACCCGGUUGUGGGGAAUAAUAAAAGUAUAAUAAAUAAUAUAAAUGUGACAAUCGCAACACAGUUGUACAGCAAUAUGCGCAUGAUAUAUCCAAACAAUGGCCCAGAUUUACUAAUGGCUUUGCAAAAACAACCGGUCUACAAAGUGGCACAAUUUGGUGCAUCUAGGGUGUCUACACUUUUUUUCUCAAUGUGUUCAACUUUGGGUCGGGGGCUUAGUGGAAAGGAAUUGGAGCUUUGUGUGAAAGGGAUUAGGGCCUACGAUGCACCACUCUGCACCAAAAGUGUAGAACUAUUCUGGUGUAAAAAUGUCUCAAAGUAAGCUACAGAGUCAGAGAAAAGUGAUUUAUCCUUUAGCCAGUGCCCCGUUCAUGGUGCAGGUCUAGAGGCCGAUCUAAGCUUCCACCAUCUUUACGAUUAGUAAAUCUGGGCCAAUAUCUCUCAGGGUGACUCAGGUAGUUUUCGUCUCAGGUUGUAAUUUUAUAUUUCAAACGUUCAUUGACGCCACACGACGACUCCUUGGAAACAUCUGAUAAUUCCUGUAUAGGGAGAUAUGUACCGGAAGUUUCUUUAUGACUUAUAUUUGAAGUCUUACAGUUAUAGGUGUUUUCUUAGACAUGUAUGGCAUAUCCACAGACUUGGAGAGGUUAUAUCAAAGCCUCCCUCAAAGUCUGGAUACAGUGGCCAGCAGGAUGGCCUCAGAGACCCCAUUUUCUACAGAUAGCUGGAUGUGCCAGAGGACAAUGGAUAUGCCAUAAAUGUCUGAGAUGAGAAUAUCCAUUUUAAGCAGCUUUUCACAAAACAGCAAACAAAAAUUCAUAGCCUUUAUAGUUCCCGUUAAAAGUAAUUUUAUUAAUACUUUUAAAAUAUUCAAAUACAGGUGAAACUCGAAAAAUUUGAAUAUCGUGUAAAAGUCUAUUUAUUUCAGUAAUGCAAAUUAAAAGGAAUUGCAUUAAUG
This is an RNA transcript of Bufo gargarizans (Asiatic toad), 2966 nucleotides long. It is a transcript of the gene named zinc finger protein OZF-like, with no coding region annotated. The transcript has 3 exons. The record is from RefSeq and is a predicted model, not a curated record. NCBI's taxonomy places the organism in Eukaryota, Metazoa, Chordata, Amphibia, Anura, Bufonidae.